AAUAUACUCCCUCCGUCCGGAAAUACUUGUCGGAGAAAUGGAUGUAUCUAGAUGUAUUUUAAUUCUACAUACAUCCAUUUUUAUCUAUUUCUCCGACAAGUAUUUUCGGACGGAGGGAGUACUAG
Molecule: non-coding RNA, 125 nt
Organism: Triticum aestivum (bread wheat)
Lineage: Eukaryota; Viridiplantae; Streptophyta; Magnoliopsida; Poales; Poaceae
Source: Rfam